Regulatory RNA element from Dichanthelium oligosanthes, 53 nucleotides. It matches the Rfam family "Guanidine-II riboswitch aptamer (mini-ykkC)". Rfam says of the family: Simpler in structure and has fewer highly conserved nucleotide positions than the ykkC-yxkD leader. Despite this each of its two stem-loop structures directly bind free guanidine. NCBI's taxonomy places the organism in Eukaryota, Viridiplantae, Streptophyta, Magnoliopsida, Poales, Poaceae. The record is from Rfam.
CGGGCAGGUCGACCUGCCCGAGCAGGAGAGCUUGCUUCCCGGGGACGACCCCG